GUGAGGAAUAUUGGACAAUGGGCGCAAGCCUGAUCCAGCCAUGCCGCGUGCAGGAAGACGCAUCUAUGGUGUGUAAACUGCUUUUGUACGGGAAGAAACACUCCCUCGUGAGGGAGCUUGACGGUACCGUAAGAAUAAGGAUCGGCUAACUCCGUGCCAGCAGCCGCGGUAAUACGGAGGUUCCAAGCGUUAUCCGGAAUCAUUGGGUUUAAAGGGUCCGUAGGCGGUUUAAUAAGUCAGUGGUGAAAGCCCAUCGCUCAACGAUGGAACGGCCAUUGAUACUGUUAGACUUGAAUUACAAGGAAGUAACUAGAAUAUGUAGUGUAGCGGUGAAAUGCUUAGAUAUUACAUGGAAUACCAAUUGCGAAGGCAGGUUACUACUUGUGGAUUGACGCUGAUGGACGAAAGCGUGGGGAGCGAACAGGAUUAGAAACCCGUGUAGUCC
RNAcentral lists this ribosomal RNA (445 nucleotides) under uncultured bacterium. RNAcentral's name for it is "partial 16S ribosomal RNA". It matches the Rfam family "Bacterial small subunit ribosomal RNA", at positions 354 to 796 of the family's 1533-position model. The record is from RNAcentral.